This 1181-nucleotide long non-coding RNA is filed under the name Anser cygnoides (Swan goose). Its description in RNAcentral is "lncRNA (ENSACDG00005017765.1)". The record is from RNAcentral. Lineage: Eukaryota; Metazoa; Chordata; Aves; Anseriformes; Anatidae.
AAAUGGCUGAACAAGCUGAAAAUUUAUUAAUUAGCCUGAGAAAUUUUUUUUUUUGUAAAUAUUUUGAAAAUAUGGUCUCAGUGUAUUACAGCAAAACCGUACUGCUGAAAUAUAAACUAAAUUACAGAUUUUUUUACAAAACCCAAGCUUAAGCCAUAGAAACAAAGACAUAGUCAUUUCUAGUCAUUAUAUAUCUGUACUGGCUCUGGAUGGCAUGGAGUUAACUGUCCCUGCAACGGCCCAUACAGUGCUGUGCUCUCCACUUGUAGCUAGAACAGCAUUGGUACCACACCAGUGUCUUGUCUAUUGCUGAGCAGUGCUGGCACAGCACCAAGGCUCUCUCCAAGCCCCCAGAGCCAGUAGGCAGGGUGUGAGCAAGAGGUGGCAGGGGACAUCAUCAGGGCAGCUGACCUAAACCAACCAAAGGAUUAUUCCAUACCAUAUGAUGUCAUACUCAGGAAUAAAAGGUGGGAAAGGGGAAGGAGAGGGGGGAGCUCUCGUUAUGAAGAUGUCUGUCCUCCCAAACAACUGCUACGCAUAUUGAGGCCUUGCUUCCUAGGACAUGGAUGAACAUCACUUGUUGAUGGGAAGUAGACUUUUUUUUCUCUCUCUGUGAUUCCAUGCAGUCUUUUUUUUUUUCCCUCUUCCUUUUCCCUUUAAUUCCUUAUAUCAACCUGAGACGCUUUUUGUUUAUUUGUAUUUGUUUGUUUAUUUUUCUUUCUAGCAUAGUUUCUUCUUCCCUCUUCUGAGGAAGGGGAAUGAGAGCGUGGUUGUGGUGGAGUUCAGAUGCCCAGCAGGGUAAAACUACCUCAAUAUCUUUCUGUACUAAGGAAUUAACAUCUUAUGAAAAUGCAACAAAGUCCUAUCCCCUACAACCACCACCCCAAGAAGAAAAUUACACAGUUCCAUUUGAAGUAUGCCAUCAUCUGUAGACAAUGAUAAUAAAGCCUUUAGGAAACUGCAAGAAAAAUGGCUCAUUCCUUGUCAUAAGUUUGUCACUGGAAAGACAAAAUAAAUUAGAACAAUUCAGAAGCUUUGAGAAUCUCCAAACAAUGUCACUUCUGCUAGAGAUACUCCCAGAGAAGAGGACGGCCCAUUAUUCAAUGUGUUUACAAGUAGAACAAGAUGCAGAAAUGAACAAAUUGGCUACGGGAAGCAAGUCUGUCUUUACAAAGACAUAG